UCUUGGUCAUUUAGAGGAAGUAAAAGUCGUAACAAGGUCUCCGUUGGUGAACCAGCGGAGGGAUCAUUAAAGAGUUUUUACAACUCCCAAACCCCUGUGAACAUACCUUCUGUUGCCUCGGCAGGCCCUGGCCUACCCUGUAGCGCCCCUACACUGUAGGGCUUGCUUUAGGGGGGCGCUGGGGGAACCUGCCGGCGGCCCGCAAAACUCUGUUUAGCAUUGAAUUCUGAACGUAUAACUAAAUAAGUUAAAACUUUCAACAACGGAUCUCUUGGUUCUGGCAUCGAUGAAGAACGCAGCGAAAUGCGAUAAGUAAUGUGAAUUGCAGAAUUCAGUGAAUCAUCGAAUCUUUGAACGCACAUUGCGCCCAUUAGUAUUCUAGUGGGCAUGCCUGUUCGAGCGUCAUUUCAACCCUUAAGCCCCUGUUGCUUAGCGUUGGGAGCCUACGGAAGCGUAGCUCCCUAAAGUUAGUGGCGUGGUCGGUUCACACUCCAGACGUAGUAGAUUUUCACCUCGCCUGUAGCUGGACCGGUCCCCUGCCGUAAAACACCCCAAUUUUUAAAGGUUGACCUCGGAUCAGGUAGGAAUACCCGCUGAACUUAAGCAUAUCAAUA
This 614-nucleotide ribosomal RNA is filed under the name Xylaria sp. C2c2. Its description in RNAcentral is "eukaryotic LSU rRNA". The stretch from base 252 to 405 matches the Rfam family "5.8S ribosomal RNA". The record is from RNAcentral. Lineage: Eukaryota; Fungi; Ascomycota; Sordariomycetes; Xylariales; Xylariaceae.